AGAGACUGAGGCCAUAUUGGGUUGUUGUGUGACGUCUGUAGCUUGACUUUUCAGGCAUGGUGAAGAUGACCUCCCAGCUGUGGAAGACAAGACACUGUCACUCCCAUAUGUAAGACUAUCCAGACAGAACAUGGGAGUGCAGUGGAUUUCACUAAAGAUGUGGAUGUGGGAACUUUUGCCUGAGAUGUCUUGGCCUCUCAUAUUUGAAGUAACCAACAACUCUCAUGCCCCUUUCCAACUCUCUGGCUUCACUCUCCCUCUUUUCUUUCUGCAUUUGAAACAAGUACCACAGGCAGUUCUGAUGUAAUUUGUGCAUAUGCAAUGCAUUUAUAAAAGGUCAGGAUAAACAAACGAGAAUAAACAUCAGUGUUACUUUUACAGAUGUCCAGCGCAAAUGAGAUGGAAUUUUUCUAUGUUAGAGAAUCUUUGCAAUCUCAAGCAUGGCUACUACCAAAAUAUGCAAGAAACAAAUUCUCGCAUUUAAGGUGUCUGAAAGGUAAACCUCUUUUCUCUCUGUUUCUACAGUGCUCAGCAAGGAGCCUCCAGGAAGCACAUGAGGACAGGAAGUAGCAGGCAAGAGGAAGUGACCCUAGAGCAAUAGCUGUGCAAGGACUGAGGUUUGUUCCCUCAGUUCCAGAAACAACACAAGCACACAUUUCAGACAUGAUGGUAAAGUGCUAUCUUGCUUUAGAUAUGAGGUGUUCCCCAAAAGCUCGUGUUUAAGACGAUGAAAGACAGUUUAGAGGUGAAAUGAUUGGGUUAUGAAAGCUUUAACCUAAUCAGUGAAUUGAUGCACUGAUAUGGAAUGGCUAGAAGAGGUGGGUCACUGUGGGAGAACUUUGGGGUUUAUAUUUUGUUCUGGUAAGCAGAACUCUCUCCCUCUGCUUCCUGGUGCCUGGCCUGCUCUGCUUUCUUAUGCCAUGCCUUUCCACUCUGGUGAUCAGCCUCAUCGUUGGCCCAGAGCAAUGGAUACAAUGGAUUUGGUUGUCUGUGCUCUGAAGCUUUGAAACCGAGAAACAAUUAAACUUUACUUCCUCUACAUUUUUUUCUUGUCAGGUUAUUUGGUGACAGCAACAAAAAGAAAGUUGACAAACAAAGAUGAACUCUUGUGUCCCUUGUAGAGGUCUUUAUUGCAGGCUUAAGUGAACACAUCAGGAGGAGCAGCACAUUGUGGUAAUGUCUGGCAUAAGUUUUCUCCCCACAGCCGUCUCUGGACCAAAUGGAGAUGCUGAGCCACCUGAGGUACAGCUCUCCUGCACCACACACCAUGAGGCUAUCUGCACUUCUUCCUGAUACCUUUGUCCAUCCAUUAUUGUGAAAUUAAUAUUUUUUGUUAAUUUCUUGUCUUUGCUUUCCACAUUUACCUUCUCUGAAAAAGUACUCAUAUGUCACUAACAAUGCUCUUUGCAUAUCAA
RNAcentral lists this long non-coding RNA (1415 nucleotides) under Marmota monax (woodchuck). The record is from RNAcentral. Lineage: Eukaryota; Metazoa; Chordata; Mammalia; Rodentia; Sciuridae.